UACGGAGGGUGCAAGCGUUAUCCGGAUUCACUGGGUUUAAAGGGUGCGUAGGUGGGUCUGUAAGUCAGUGGUGAAAUAUCCAAGCUUAACUUGGAACUGCCGUUGAUACUAUAGACCUUGAAUGCUGUGGAGGUGAGCGGAAUAUGUCAUGUAGCGGUGAAAUGACUUAGAUAUGACAUAGAACACCAAUUGCGAAAGGCAGCUCACUACCCAGAUAUUGACACUGAGGCACGAAAGCGUGGGGAUCAAACAGG
Molecule: ribosomal RNA, 254 nt
Filed under: uncultured bacterium
Lineage: Bacteria
Description: partial 16S ribosomal RNA
Rfam family: Bacterial small subunit ribosomal RNA
Source: RNAcentral